Molecule: ribosomal RNA, 264 nt
Filed under: uncultured bacterium
Lineage: Bacteria
Description: partial 16S rRNA
Rfam family: Bacterial small subunit ribosomal RNA
Source: RNAcentral
GUGCCAGCAGCCGCGGUAAUACGUAGGUGGCAAGCGUUAUCCGGAAUUAUUGGGCGUAAAGCGCGCGCAGGUGGUUUCUUAAGUCUGAUGUGAAAGCCCACGGCUCAACCGUGGAGGGUCAUUGGAAACUGGGAGACUUGAGUGCAGAAGAGGAAAGUGGAAUUCUAUGUGUAGCGGUGAAAUGCGUAGAGAUUUGGAGGACCACCAGUGGCGAAGGCGAGUUUCUGGUCUGUAACUGACACUGAGGCGCGAAGGAGUGGGGGG